Molecule: ribosomal RNA, 483 nt
Filed under: uncultured bacterium
Lineage: Bacteria
Description: bacterial SSU rRNA
Rfam family: Bacterial small subunit ribosomal RNA
Source: RNAcentral
UUCUGGCUCAGGACGAACGCUGGCGGCGUGCUUCAUACAUGCAAGUCGAACGAUAAGGUCUCUUCGGAGAUACAUAAGUGGCGGACGGGUGAGUAAAAUGUAGAGAAUCUGCCCUUAAGCGGGGGACAACAGAGGGAAACUUCUGCUAAUACCCCAUAUGAGCGUAGCUGAGAUGCUAUUCUUGAAAAACUCCGGUGCUUAAGGAUGAGUCUGCAUCUGAUUAGCUAGUUGGGGGUGUAAUGGACCACCAAGGCGACGAUCAGUAGCUGGUUUGAGAGGAUGAUCAGCCACAAUGGGACUGAGACACGGCCCAUACUCCUACGGGAGGCAGCAGUAGGGAAUUUUGCGCAAUGGGGGAAACCCUGAACCGCAGCAACGCCGCGUGACCGAUGAAGCCCUUCGGGGUGUAAAGGUCUGUCAGUGGGGACGAAAAAUGACGGUACCCACAGAGGAAGCAUCGGCUAACUCCGUGCCAGCCGCAGC